UUGAAAGGGAAACGAUUGAAGUCAGUCGUGCUGGCGCGAAAUCAACCUUCUCGUCUUGAGAUCACAUGGCGUGGCGAGCCUCAAAACCGUCACGAAGCGUGAACUCUUGGUGAAAUGGAGCGCUUUCGUGUCCGCUGGUUAACAUCAAUUUCGAACGUCAUAAAAAGGCUGGAGGGAUGUGGCUCCUUCGGGAGUGUUAUAACCUUUAGCGGAAUGUGGUGUUCGGGAUUGAGGAUUGCAACGAAUACCUUUAGGGCUGUUCCACCUGGCUUCUCUUUGGUAUCCUGGUGACGACAGCUUGCUGACGUCGUUAGGAUUCGCCUUUGAACAGGCUAGAGUGUGAGCAAAUUCGUUAAGGAUGUUGACGUA
RNAcentral lists this ribosomal RNA (369 nucleotides) under uncultured Glomeromycotina. RNAcentral's name for it is "LSU rRNA". The record is from RNAcentral. Lineage: Eukaryota; Fungi; Glomeromycota.